CCCUGGUGACACCGGGUGUCCCCACAGACCCUGUACACGUACCCCGAGAACUGGCGGGCGUUCAAGGCGCUGAUUGCGGCUCAGUACUCGGGCGCGCGGCUCCGGGUGCUCUCCGGGCCCCCCCACUUCCACUUCGGCCACACCAACCGCAGCCCCCAGUUCCUGCAGAAAUUCCCGCUGGGAAAGGUUCCGGCCUUCGAGGGCGAUGACGGAUUCUGCGUCUUCGAGAGCAACGCCAUCGCCUACUACGUGAGCACGGAGGAGCUGCGGGGCAGCACCAACACCCUUUAGUUAUCAUCCCU
This is a non-coding RNA of Cyanistes caeruleus (blue tit), 302 nucleotides long. The record is from RefSeq and is a predicted model, not a curated record. NCBI's taxonomy places the organism in Eukaryota, Metazoa, Chordata, Aves, Passeriformes, Paridae.